GUCGAGAAUCUUCCGCAAUGCGCGAAAGCGUGACGGAGCGACACCGCGUGAUGGAUGAAGUCCUUCGGGGCGUAAACAUCUUUUAUAAAGGAGGAAAUUUUUGACGUUACUUUAUGAAUAAGGGGCUCCCAAUCUCGUGCCAGCAGGGGCGGUAAUACGAGAGCCUCAAGCGUUAUCCGGAAUCAUUGGGCGUAAAGGGUGCGUAGGUGGUUUGAUUAGUCUCCCGUUAAAACUUCGAGCUUAACUCGAAAAGAGCGGGGGAAACGGUCAAACUAGAGGAUGUGAGAGGUGUGUGGAACUCAUGGUGUAGGGGUGAAAUCCGUUGAUAUCAUGGGGAACACCAAAAGCGAAGGCAGCACACUGGCACAUCACUGACACUGAGGCACGAAACCUAAGGUAGCGAAUGGGAUUAGAAACCCGGGUAGUCC
This 428-nucleotide ribosomal RNA is filed under the name uncultured bacterium. RNAcentral's name for it is "partial 16S ribosomal RNA". It matches the Rfam family "Bacterial small subunit ribosomal RNA", at positions 354 to 796 of the family's 1533-position model. The record is from RNAcentral.